CUGUAUCAAAUGUCUUGGCAAAAUCCAAAUAGAUCACAUCCACUGCAAAACCCUGAUCUAUACUUCUGCUUAGGUAAUUGUUUUAGAAGAAUGAUCUUCUAGUGAUCCUAAGAACAAGUCUGCGAAAACUCGUGGUUAGAUACAAUAUUGCCCUUAAAUCCAGACGUGUAUUCAAGCUAGUAAAUAGACCUGUCUUCUGAGGUGUGACUUCAUUAAGCAGGAUUUUAACUGACAGCUCUUCA
Molecule: non-coding RNA, 242 nt
Organism: Pelobates cultripes (western spadefoot toad)
Lineage: Eukaryota; Metazoa; Chordata; Amphibia; Anura; Pelobatidae
Source: the annotation of a GenBank genome assembly